AUUGAACGCUGGCGGCAUGCUUUACACAUGCAAGUCGAGCGGCAGCGCGGCCUUCGGUCUUGCGUCGAGCGGCGAACGGGUGAGUAAUGCAUCGGAACAUGCCCAGUCGUGGGGGAUAACACUUCGAAAGAAGUGCUAAUACCGCAUACGUCCUGAGGGGGAAAGCGGGGGAUCGCAAGACCUCGCGCGAUUGGAUUGGCCUAUGUCAGAUUAGCUAGUUGGUGGGGUAAAGGCCUACCAAGGCGACGAUCUGUAGCUGGUCUGAGAGGAUGAUCAGCCACACUGGAACUGAGACACGGCCCAGACUCCUACGGGAGGCAGCAGUGGGGAAUUUUGGACAAUGGGGGCAAGCCUGAUCCAGCCAUGCCGCGUGAGUGAAGAAGGCCUUCGGGUUGUAAAGCACUUUCGGCAGGAACGAAACGGUGGGAUCUAACAUAGUCCGCUAAUGACGGUACCUGAAGAAGAAGCACCGGCUAACUACGUG
This 484-nucleotide ribosomal RNA is filed under the name uncultured bacterium. Its description in RNAcentral is "partial 16S ribosomal RNA". It matches the Rfam family "Bacterial small subunit ribosomal RNA", at positions 30 to 507 of the family's 1533-position model. The record is from RNAcentral.